This 74-nucleotide transfer RNA is filed under the name Pasteurellaceae bacterium 15-036681. It matches the Rfam family "tRNA". From Rfam's summary of the family: Transfer RNA (tRNA) molecules are approximately 80 nucleotides in length. The record is from Rfam by way of RNAcentral. Lineage: Bacteria; Pseudomonadati; Pseudomonadota; Gammaproteobacteria; Pasteurellales; Pasteurellaceae.
GACCGCAUAGCAUCAAAUGGUAAUGCAGCCGACUAAUAAUCGGGGAGCUGAGAGUUCGAAUCUCUCUGUGGUCA